GCCAGUUAACCUACAAACCUCAACAUCUUCGGGAUGUGGAGAAAACCUGAGCACUUGGAGGAAACUCAUGCGGUCACAGGGAGAAUGUGCAAACUCCACAAAGACAGCU
Long non-coding RNA from Amblyraja radiata (thorny skate), 109 nucleotides. RefSeq lists it as uncharacterized. NCBI's taxonomy places the organism in Eukaryota, Metazoa, Chordata, Chondrichthyes, Rajiformes, Rajidae. The transcript has 3 exons. The record is from RefSeq and is a predicted model, not a curated record.